Molecule: ribosomal RNA, 497 nt
Filed under: uncultured bacterium
Lineage: Bacteria
Description: partial 16S ribosomal RNA
Rfam family: Bacterial small subunit ribosomal RNA
Source: RNAcentral
GAUGAACGCUGGCGGCGUGCCUAAUACAUGCAAGUCGAGCGAACAGACGAGGAGCUUGCUCCUCUGACGUUAGCUGCGGACGGGUGAGUAACACGUUGAUAACCUACCUAUAAGACUGGGAUAACUUCGGGAAACCGGAGCUAAUACCGGAUAAUAUAUUGAACCGCAUGGUUCAAUAGUGUAAGACGGUUUUGCUGUCACUUAUAGAUUGAUCCGCGCCGCAUUAGCUAGUUGGUAAGGUAACGGCUUACCAAGGCAACGAUGCGUAGCCGACCUGAGAGGGUGAUCGGCCACACGGGAACUGAGACACGGUCCAGACUCCUACGGGAGGCAGCAGUAGGGAAUCUUCCGCAAUGGGCGAAAGCCUGACGGAGCAACGCCGCGUGAGUGAUGAAGGUCUUCGGAUCGUAAAACUCUGUUAUUAGGGAAGAACAAAUGUGUAAGUAACUAUGCACGUCUUGACGGUACCUAAUCAGAAAGCCACGGCUAACUACGUG